UAGGCGAAAAUGAUGCGAGUUAAGUGUGGGGGCAUCUACGAGAUGGGCCCUGUGCUGUAGGGUAGCCGUUAAACUCGCUGCCUGGGGAGUACGGUCGCAAGGCUGAAACUUAAAGGAUUGGCGGGGGAGCACCACAACGGGUGGAGCCUGCGGUUUAAUCGGACUCAACGCCGGAAAACUCAUCGGGAGCGACAGCAGUAUGAUUGCCCAGGUUUGACGACCUUGCUUGACAAGCUGAGAGGAGGUGCAUGGCGUAGUCGUGU
RNAcentral lists this ribosomal RNA (263 nucleotides) under uncultured archaeon. Its description in RNAcentral is "partial 16S ribosomal RNA". It matches the Rfam family "Archaeal small subunit ribosomal RNA", at positions 748 to 1009 of the family's 1478-position model. The record is from RNAcentral.